ACUCAAAUGAAUUGACGGGGACUUGCACAAGCAGUGGAUUAUGUGGUUUAAUUCGAUGAUAAACGAAGAACCUCACCAGGGUUUGAAACCUAACUGAAUAUUUUUGGAAACAGAAAUAGUCUCACAAGGACAGUUAGGCAGGUGCUGCAUGGUCGUCGUCAGUUCGUGGUUUGAAUUGUUCCCUUCAGUGGGGUAACGAACGCAACCCUCGUCGUGUGUUACAAGUGUCACACGAGACUGCCCCCGCUUUAGUUCAGAAUCUUUGCAAAAAGAUUGUGAGUUGAAGUGGGGGAGGAAGGCGAGGAUGACGCCAGAUCAGCAUGGCCCUCUGAUAUCCUGGGCUACACACAUAAUACAAUCGCCAUUACAACGCGACGCAAUGGGGCGACCCGGAGCAAAUCGUAAGAAAAAUGGCGCCAGUUCGGAUUGAAGUCUGCAACUCGACUUCAUGAAGCCGGAAUUGCUAGUAAUCGCGGGUCAGACAUACCGCGGUGAAUACGUUCUCAAGUCUUGUACACACCGCCCGU
RNAcentral lists this ribosomal RNA (527 nucleotides) under uncultured bacterium. Its description in RNAcentral is "partial 16S ribosomal RNA". It matches the Rfam family "Bacterial small subunit ribosomal RNA", at positions 899 to 1397 of the family's 1533-position model. The record is from RNAcentral.